UACGGAGGGUGCGAGCGUUAUCCGGAAUUACUGGGUUUAAAGCGUGCGUAGGGGGUCUUUUAAGUCCGUUGUGAAAGCCCUGGGCUCAACCUGGGAAUGGCAGUGGAUACUGGAAGGCUGGAGUACGGUAGAGGAGGGUGGAAUUCCCGGUGUAGCGGUGAAAUGCGUAGAGAUCGGGAGGAACAUCAGUGGCGAAGGCGGCCCUCUGGACCAGUACUGACGCUGAGGCACGAAAGCGUGGGGAGCAAACAGG
Molecule: ribosomal RNA, 253 nt
Filed under: uncultured bacterium
Lineage: Bacteria
Description: partial 16S ribosomal RNA
Rfam family: Bacterial small subunit ribosomal RNA
Source: RNAcentral